AUUGAACGCUGGCGGCAUGCCUUACACAUGCAAGUCGAACGGCAGCACGGGAGCAAUCCUGGUGGCGAGUGGCGAACGGGUGAGUAAAGUAUCGGAACGUGCCCAGUCGUGGGGGAUAACGUAGCGAAAGUUACGCUAAUACCGCAUACGAUCUAUGGAUGAAAGCGGGGGAUCGCAAGACCUCGCGCGAUUGGAGCGGCCGAUAUCAGAUUAGGUAGUUGGUGGGGUAAAGGCUCACCAAGCCGACGAUCUGUAGCGGGUCUGAGAGGACGACCAGCCCCACUGGGACUGAGACACGGCCCAGACUCCUACGGGAGGCAGCAGUGGGGAAUUUUGGACAAUGGGCGCAAGCCUGAUCCAGCCAUGCCGCGUGCAGGAUGAAGGCCUUCGGGUUGUAAACUGCUUUUGUACGGAACGAAAAGGUUUGACUUAAUACGUUGGACUCAUGACGGUACCGUAAGAAUAAGCACCGGCUAACUACGUGCCAGCCGCCGCGGUAA
This 500-nucleotide ribosomal RNA is filed under the name uncultured bacterium. RNAcentral describes it as "partial 16S ribosomal RNA". It matches the Rfam family "Bacterial small subunit ribosomal RNA", at positions 30 to 523 of the family's 1533-position model. The record is from RNAcentral.